Molecule: ribosomal RNA, 440 nt
Filed under: uncultured bacterium
Lineage: Bacteria
Description: bacterial SSU rRNA
Rfam family: Bacterial small subunit ribosomal RNA
Source: RNAcentral
UACGGAAGGCAGCAGUGGGGAAUAUUGCACAAUGGGCGCAAGCCUGAUGCAGCCAUGCCGCGUGUAUGAAAAAGGCCUUCGGGUUGUAAAGUACUUUCAGUCGUGAGGAAGGUGUUAAGGUUAAUAACCUUAGCAAUUGACGUUAGCGACAGAAGAAGCACCGGCUAACUCCGUGCCAGCAGCCGCGGUAAUACGGAGGGUGCGAGCGUUAAUCGGAAUUACUGGGCGUAAAGGGCACGCAGGCGGUUAAUUAAGUUGGAUGUGAAAUCCCCGGGCUUAACCUGGGAAUGGCAUUCAAGACUGGUUAGCUAGAGUCUUGUAGAGGGGGUAGAAUUCCAUGUGUAGCGGUGAAAUGCGUAGAGAUGUGGAGGAAUACCGGUGGCGAAGGCGGCCCCUGGACAAAGACUGACGCUCAUGUGCGAAAGCGUGGGGAGCGAAAC